This 405-nucleotide ribosomal RNA is filed under the name uncultured bacterium. RNAcentral describes it as "partial 16S ribosomal RNA". It matches the Rfam family "Bacterial small subunit ribosomal RNA", at positions 30 to 526 of the family's 1533-position model. The record is from RNAcentral.
AUUGAACGCUGGCGGCAGGCUUAACACAUGCAAGUCGAACGAGUGGCGGACGGGUGAGUAAUGCUUGGGAAUCUAGCUUAUGGAGGGGGAUAACUACGGGAAACUGUAGCUAAUACCGCGUACCAUAGGAUGAGCCCAAGUGGGAUUAGGUAGUUGGUGAGGUAAAGGCUCACCAAGCCGACGAUCUCUCGCUGGUCUGAGAGGAUGACCAGCCACACUGGGACUGAGACACGGCCCAGACUGCUCCGGGAGGCAGCAGUGGGGAAUAUUGCGGAAUGGGGGCAACCUGACGCAGCCAUGCCGCGUGAAUGAAGAAGGCCUUCGGGUUGUAAAGGUCUUUCGGUAGCGAGGCGUUAACUACAGAAGAAGCACCGGCUAACUCCGUGCCAGCAGCCGCGGUAAUUC